UACUAUGUUACGACUUAUCCCACCUUAAAAACGAGAGUGACGGGCGAUAUCUACACAUUCUAGAGCUCAAUUCAUUAUAAAAUUCUAAAAAUAAUUACAUUUAAAUCCACCUUCAUAUUAAUAAUUUACAUAAUAAAAUCCAUUAUAUUUCACCCAAUAUUGUAACCCAUUUCCACUUAAUUAUAAAUUAAACCUUGACCUGAAAUAUUAUAAAAUAAUAACCCUUAAAAAUUAAAUUACCUUAAAAAGUCUCUUAAAACGGCGGUAUAUAUAAACAAUUUUAAGUAAGUUCAUACGCGGAUUAUCGAUUACGGAACAGGUUCCUCUAAAGAGACUAAAACGCCGCCAAAUCAUUUAAGUUUAAAGAUCAUAAUCUAAUACUACUAAAGCAAAUCAAUUAACAUCACCAAUAAUAGGGUAUCUAAUCCUAGUUU
RNAcentral lists this ribosomal RNA (434 nucleotides) under Latindia dohrniana. RNAcentral's name for it is "partial 12S rRNA". The record is from RNAcentral. Lineage: Eukaryota; Metazoa; Arthropoda; Insecta; Blattodea; Corydiidae.